GAACUCAUGACCAUAGGAAGAUCAACUGUUUUCCCACUUUACCCAAUUCUUUCCUACCGUGCAAUCUGAUGGAGAUCAUUCUGCAGACACAUUGGAACCUCAGGCGAAGCCAUCUUAUUCCACUGUCUAUCCUGAGACAUGCAGAUUCUAGCUUUUGGAGCACUGGGGUGCUGCAGGGACAGAAUAACCAAGUAGUGAUGAAUUGUGUCCUUUCCAGUGUCAGAGGCACGUUGAAGUUUUGUAUCUGUGUUAUUAGUGCUUUUUCCAUUUCAAGAGCCUUGACAUCAUUAAUCUUUUCACCACUAUCACUCCUUGGUGAGGCCAUUUUUGUGCAAGUAACCACACAGAUCAGAGAACUACGGUAUUUAACUGUAUCAGGUUUGUGGAUAGAAAAUACAAUUUCAGUAACUAACAAUGAGUUUGCUUUUAUUCUGUCCUAGCCGACUUUGAAUGUUUACCUACCUUGAAGGAAGAGAAGGAAUCAAAUCACAACCCAAGUGACAGUGAAUCCUAAACCUGAAUGGCGCUCAUGUUUUCCAAGAGAAGCAGCCCCUGAGGGAGUCUGCUGAGGCUGCCAACAGAGGAUGAAGAGGAUACAAAUUUAAUUAAUUUCAAAUCAACAUAGACACAAGAACCUUUUGCUGUUUCUUCCAACGCCCACUCUUCCUAAUGAUGGCAUCACUUGCACUUGGAAGAAUGUGCAAUUGAGAAGUACUAGGAAAAGGCCUGGCUGCCAUCCAUCGCUGCCUCUGAGGGUGGAGAAGGAGGCGGGUGAUGUGCUCACUUCUGAUCAACAUGUGUUGCCUCCUCU
Molecule: small RNA, 811 nt
Filed under: Pan troglodytes (chimpanzee)
Lineage: Eukaryota; Metazoa; Chordata; Mammalia; Primates; Hominidae
Description: retained intron
Source: RNAcentral